Long non-coding RNA from Rana temporaria (common frog), 159 nucleotides. RefSeq lists it as uncharacterized. The record is from RefSeq and is a predicted model, not a curated record. NCBI's taxonomy places the organism in Eukaryota, Metazoa, Chordata, Amphibia, Anura, Ranidae. The transcript is spliced from 3 exons.
AGAGAGAAGACAUUGCUGGAACUGGCAGCAGAGAAGAGAAACCUUCAUACAUCACAAGACCAAUGAGGAUGAAGGCGGACCGGAGUCACAUGACUGAGAGGAUACUAAACCUCACCCUGGAGAUCAUCUACCUGCUGACCGGAGAGAGAUUUCCUCUUG